UCAAGCUUGUGGCCCUCAUAAAAAGUCCAUGAGAUUAUUUCUCAGGUGAGCAGCUAUUUUCUGGGUGAUAUCAGCAACCAUCCUCUCGUUUUGGGCUCAUGUCAAAUGAUCAAUCACCAUCCAUGUAUCAGUGAUAGAAGAUCUACAGCCCCUCUUCACAUGAACUUUUGGCAUCUUUAAGUCACAUUUUGACUCUUUAUCUCCUGUCUUCCAAAGGCACCUCUUGUGUGAUUCUCUGCAUUCUUUUCUUCCAAUGACCUCAGGGUGAGCUGAUGGUUUCCCAGUCGAAGCUACGGAGAUGUACGUGCCAAGGACAGAAAGGAAAAGCCUACAGACAAUACAAGUGUAAGGAGAAGCAGUCUGAGGUGUUUGGUCACAGUGCAGGAAGAACAAAGAGAUGAUAAUGAUGAUUGGGGUCUUUCGAGUUGCUGGUGUACCGUGUAUGGAGGAGGCUGGACAUGACGGCUACCUCAUCUCUGCACCCUCCCUUGUCGGGUAAGUUGGGAUUCAGCUGUUUGUCUUUGUGUGCUGCUCUCGAUCCUGAAAGCAUGAGGCAGUCAUCCUCUGAUGUGCUUUGAGUUCUCAUGAGAAGGCAAAUCUUGAUCAUCUUUCAUUUCUGGAUUUUGGGCUGUUGUUGUCCGUUUCCUGUAAGCAGUCUCUUUGACUUCUCAGACAUAAAACCUAACAAAGAAAGGUAAAGGUUUCUUAUUUUGUGA
This is a long non-coding RNA of Musa acuminata AAA Group (dessert banana), 716 nucleotides long. RefSeq lists it as uncharacterized. The transcript has 2 exons. NCBI's taxonomy places the organism in Eukaryota, Viridiplantae, Streptophyta, Magnoliopsida, Zingiberales, Musaceae. The record is from RefSeq and is a predicted model, not a curated record.